GAUGAACGCUGGCGGCGUGCUUAACACAUGCAAGUCGAACGAUGAAGCCCAGCUUGCUGGGUGGAUUAGUGGCGAACGGGUGAGUAACACGUGAGUAACCUGCCCUUAACUCUGGGAUAAGCCUGGGAAACUGGGUCUAAUACCGGAUAGGAGCGCCUACCGCAUGGUGGGUGUUGGAAAGAUUUGUCGGUUUUGGAUGGACUCGCGGCGUAUCAGCUUGUUGUUGAGGUAAUGGCUAACCAAGGCGACGACGGGUAGCCGGCCUGAGAGGGUGACCGGCCACACUGGGACUGAGACACGGCACAGACUACUACGGGAGGCAGCAGUGGGGAAUAUUGCACAAUGGGCGAAAGCCUGAUGCAGCGACGCCGCGUGAGGGAUGACGGCCUUCGGGUUGUAAACCUCUUUCAGUAGGGAAGAAGCGAAAGUGACGGUACCUGCAGAAGAAGCACCGGCUAACUACGUG
This 466-nucleotide ribosomal RNA is filed under the name uncultured bacterium. Its description in RNAcentral is "partial 16S ribosomal RNA". It matches the Rfam family "Bacterial small subunit ribosomal RNA", at positions 28 to 507 of the family's 1533-position model. The record is from RNAcentral.